Enterococcus haemoperoxidus ATCC BAA-382 is the source of this 236-nucleotide non-coding RNA. NCBI's taxonomy places the organism in Bacteria, Bacillati, Bacillota, Bacilli, Lactobacillales, Enterococcaceae. The record is from Rfam.
UUAAAUGUGAAGAUAAGGAAAGUAUUUUUCAGAUAACUCAAAGAGAGUCUCGACUGGUGGAAAGAGACAGUGAACAUGGAAAAGAAAAUGGCCUUUGAACAAAUUGAUCGAACAAGUUAAGGUCAAUUCAGGUGCGCCUGUUAUAGCGCCUCAGUAUGUUUGUACUGAAAGAGUGGACUUAUUAUAUAAGUCAAUUGAAGGUGGUACCGCGAAAGUUUAAAACUCUCGUCCUUUUA